This 1009-nucleotide ribosomal RNA is filed under the name Pseudoniphargus mercadali. RNAcentral describes it as "16S ribosomal RNA". The stretch from base 612 to 966 matches the Rfam family "Archaeal large subunit ribosomal RNA", at positions 2150 to 2716 of the family's 2987-position model. The record is from RNAcentral. Lineage: Eukaryota; Metazoa; Arthropoda; Malacostraca; Amphipoda; Allocrangonyctidae.
AUUGCUUUAGUUGUGGCUUGAAAUAAGAAUAGAUAAUAGUACCUUUUGUAUCAGGGUUAUUUAAUUAAUCUAGUAAUAUAUGUUUCUCGAUAUUAAACGAGUUAAAUAAUAAUUGAUGUGUUGAAUAACUGUAUUAAUUUAUUUAGUAGUGAAAAUUUUUCGUGGUUGCAGGUAUCUUGUUAUUAUAGUGUUAUAAUAGAAGGGUAAGCUUUUUAUUGGGGUAUAUUAUAUUUUAUGUGUGUGAUAAAUUAGGAUUAAAAUUAGCCGUAUUAUAAAGUUGUUUUAAAUUUUUAAUGGGUUAGAUUUAGAAUAUUACUAACAGGUGUAAUUUACGGUUAUAAGGUAGGGUAAUUUAUAAUGAAUAAAUUAGUAUUUUUAUUUUUCUAAAAAAUAUAACUCGAAGUUUGUAGAAUAGUUUAUCAAAAACAUUUUUUUAUUUAUAUAAAAUAAGGCCUGCCCGGUGUGAUAUAAACGGCUGCGGUAUUUUGACUGUGCUAAGGUAGCAUAAUAAUUUGUUUUUUAAUUGAAAGCUGGAAUGAAGGGUUUUAUCUAUGAUUAGGUUAAUUAUAGAAUAAAUAAUUUAUGUUUGCAGUAAAAACACUGUAAUUUUAUAAAGUGACGAUAAGACCCUAUAAGCUUUACUUUUAAAAUAAGCAGGGCUAAUAAUUUAAUGUUUUUUUAUUUAUUGAGUUUUGCUGGGGCAGCAGUGUUGUCUAACUUAACAGGAGAGGGACACAGUUAUGUGAAUAUAGGAUCUUUAAAAUUAAGAUAGGUAGAAAAAGUUACUGUAGGGAUAACAGCGCAAUAAUUUUGGAGAGGCCUUAUUGAUGAGAUUGAUUGCGACCUCGAUGUUGAAUUAAAAUUUCUUUUUGCUGCAGCAGGCAAGGAAGAGGGUUUGUUCAACCCUUAAAAUUUUACAUGAUUUGAGUUCAAAUCGGUUUAAGCCAGAUUGGUUUCUAUCUUUUAUUUAAUAUAAUUUGUGUAAGUACGAAAGGGACACAUAGGUUUU